UACGGAGGGGGCCAGCGUUGUUCGGAAUUAUUGGGCGUAAAGGGCGCGUAGGCGGCAGGAUAAGUCUGACGUGAAAUCCCUCGGCCUAACCGAGGAACUGCGUUUGAAACUGUCCAGCUCGAGUCCGGGAGAGGGUAGUGGAAUUCCCAGUGUAGCGGUGAAAUGCGUAGAGAUCGGAAGGAACGUCGAUGGCGAAGGCAGCCGCCUGGCCUAAUACUGACGCUGAGGCGCGAGAGCGUGGGGAGCGAACAGG
Molecule: ribosomal RNA, 253 nt
Filed under: uncultured prokaryote
Description: partial 16S ribosomal RNA
Rfam family: Bacterial small subunit ribosomal RNA
Source: RNAcentral